RNAcentral lists this long non-coding RNA (10848 nucleotides) under Panax ginseng (ginseng). RNAcentral's name for it is "long non-coding RNA (PGIN_LNC004454)". Lineage: Eukaryota; Viridiplantae; Streptophyta; Magnoliopsida; Apiales; Araliaceae. The record is from RNAcentral.
UCCCAACAAUUUUGAUAUGCUUCAUCAUAUAAUAUACACACUACUACUGUAACUCUAAACGAAUUGAGCAAGUUCUUGUUUCUUUAAUGUUUUCCAACCUAAAUCAAAAUCAAAAUUUAAAAUCAAUGCAGCGUUUAGUUAUAAAUUUUUUUCCAGGAAAUACAUAUACACUACAAAGGAUAUAUAGAAAAUACUGUGCAUAAAGAUAAGAAUGUGUUGUAUGUACAUAAUAUGGACCCAACUUGGGAAUGUAUGAGUUUGGCCAUACCAUACAAGUCCUGCACUAAACUCCUAGCUAACCACAUACAACCAUCAGACAGAAUGGAACAUAGGCAUUCUUCCAUUCAAAAAUGAUAGUGUAAGCUUAGAAAUUAGAGUUGAGAUGAUUUGAUCAUAAAUACUGGUCCUUGACAUCUUAAAUGUAAUUUGUUUUAAGUCAAUGACGAACAUAUUGGAGCAAAUUGAAAUUAAUCCCAAGACUUGACUUCAUUAACAUGUCAGCAAUGAGCAAUGAUUGAUUAUGAUUACACAUACACUAGAAAAAGCAAAUCUUUCUCUGUCUUCUACUUUUUGUCACUUAUAUUUUGAGUGAUUAAUAGCCCAAAGGCCAAAUCACAAGAGACAUGAUAAAACAGUGCCCCACUUGAAUCCAGACUAUACUUAACGAAACUGCUUAUUUUCCAUCAUCAAAGUUAACAAUAGCUAAUCACGUAUCAAUUUCUAUAAGGUCAACUUAAAAGAAAAAAAUAAGAUGAGAUAAAAUUAGAUGGUCAAUAUCACUAUUUUAUUGGUGAGACCCAUAAAUUUUUAACAACAGGCUCGAUAAAGAUUCUCAUAAACAAAAUUUUUUUUAACAAUUUUCACAUAAAUUCGUAACUGUAGAAACUAACUGAAGAAAAGGGUACCUUGUUGAAAUGAUGAAGUUUGAGAUAGCAAGCAGCUCUGUUGCUAUGAAGAGCGAUCUUCUGUGAUUUAGUCUUAGCCAUGGAAAGCGCUUCUGUAUAAAAUACAAGCGCUUCCUCAUAACUUCCUUCCCUGUACAUCUGGUGUGCUCUCUCUAUCUUGUUUAUCGGUGCCCCCGAUGCCAUUUUCUCUCUCUGUAUCUCUCUAUUAUAGUUGUGUAUAUCUGUCUAUAUAUGUGCAAUAACAAAUCAAAAGUUCCAACAAAUUUAAACCCUAGAACACAAAGAUUCAGCUGAGCUGCAAAUGGGAUUUGAGAAUCGGAGGUAAGGUUUUUUUGACAAAUACGGUAGAUCAAGAGAAGAAUCAACAAAUUGAAUUAAAUUUUUGAAAAUUGUAUAUGAUUGUAUACAUGAUCUGGGUUUAUAUAAACUACAGAUCAGAAAUCAAAGAACAGAGGAAUUGCUCGAGGCGACACUAUCUGGAAGAAGGGGGCGAGAGUUUUGGGUGUUAAGCGGGAGCAAUGAUUGGGAGCCACUUGGCUCUGUUUUUCCUUAUGUUCAAAUUUCAUAGAUAAUGCCAAAUUCUUUUGUUGAUUGUAUAGCUGACAACAAAAUAUACAAUGACAAGGAGCAUACCCCCACAAAGGAAGCGGUUAGCAUCAAAUUUAUUUUUGGAUAAGUUGGUCAAUUGACACGCAGACGAGUAUAGUCAUUUGAAGAAAGGCCUACAAGUAGGGGUGAGCAUGGUACUAUUUGGUACGGUUUGAACACGAAAUCGCUUAGGUGCGAUUUGAAAAAUAUAAAAUCGCACAUGAAAUCAUUUGUGAUUGGUGCGGUGUGGUUUUGAACCGUGCAGUUUAGUUUCAUUUGAUACGGUUUUGGUUCCAAAACCAAUUGAAAUAACAAACCCGUAAAAUAGUUAGCAAAAUCAUUCACGCAAAACAUAUUACGCAAUGAACACAAUCAUGGAGCUAAUUUAGCAAAAUAGUACAGACAUCAACAAUUAUAUGAUUCAUUAAUACUAUGUUAUCAUAUUUGAUUUAGGAAAUACCAAACCACUCUUGAUUUGCAAAUAUAAUUGAUACUAUUUAUUCUUCAUUCAACCCUGCAAUAUUUGUCUUCUAAAAUAAAAUGAGGAGAAUAUUUUAUAGUAGAGAAUUAUAUAUACUUGUAGCAAAUUUGAGAAAAUAUGAUGAUUAUUUGGUGCUGUUUUGACUAGUAACCAAACCAAAAUCGUAAAUUUGGUUUUUCAACCCACCUAAAAUCGCCUCAUACGUCGAAACCGUUAGUGCGGUUUUAAUUGGUGCGAUUUGUGCAAUUUUUGGUGCGAUUUCGGUUCCAAUUUGAUUCAUUGCUCAGCCCUACCUACAAGUGAUAAAACUAUAAACGAGAGGAAACCCUCAAAAUUAAAUAAGCCAGUUACAAUAAAAAAAUUUUAGUGGUUUUAACAAAAGAUUUAGCUCGAGAAAGUUUAGACUUUAUAAUAUUAACAAUAUCAUUGGCAAGUUGUCUAGGUGGAAUGAGAGCAUCCUUAUGUAUCUUCAUGUUCCUUGCUUCUCAAAUCUUGUAUAAGGAUGUAGCCACUGAGAGCUAGACAAAGGAUGUUUUUAGAUAAGUUACUGCCUUGAAACUGAAUGAUUGAGUCAAUGAGACCAACCCAGUCUAUUGGAAUUGUAACACCCCAGUCCCACAUCGAAAGAUAUGGAAAAAUUUGUCUGCAUAUAAGGAAAUAAGUUACUACCAAUAAUACCUUCAAGUCAUGACCUUUUGGGAGCCUGUGGUGGGCUAAGAUGACCCAAGAAGAUACUAUUGGGUCAGUAGUUUGAGGCCUUAUUUUGAUGGAUUUGAUUCGAUUCGGACUUGGGAUUUGACCCGAGAUUUGUUUCGGACUCGGGAUUUGACCCAAGUUGUUUCAUAUGGUAUCAAAACUGACUCUCGAAAGCUCGGGUCGGGUCAUUUGAUCGGGUUGCCAGAGGUGGGGACACGAAGGCUGGUGGUAUUAUCCCACAAUGGAGAGAUGGAGGUCCGGAGGUGUGGACACGAAGCCAGCCAGUAUUAUCCCACAAUGGCUAGAGAGGCAAAGAUCUUUGGGUCCGUGUGUGUGAUCGGAUUUUGACGGGGACGUCAAAAAUUUAAGUGGGGGAGUUUGUAACACCCCAGUCCCACAUCGAAAGAUAUGGAAAAAUUUGUUUGCAUAUAAGGAAAUAAGUUACUACCAAUAGUACCUUCAAGUCAUGACCUUUUGGGAGCCUGUGGUGGGCUAAGAUGACCCAAGAAGAUACUAUUGGGUCAGUAGUUUGAGGCCUUAUUUUGAUGGAUUUGGUUCGAUUCGGACUUGAGAUUUGACCCGAGAUUUGUUCCGGACUCGGGAUUUGACCCGGGGUUGUUUCAGGAAUGUUGUGCCAAUUCCCCAAUCUGAGGGGUGCUUAUAGAAUAGUGUUAAGUAUGGACAUAAAAAAAACGAAUGGUCAAAUGUUUCGUUGUGAUUUUGGCAUAGAGGACAUAAAGCAAGCACAUUUGAUGUGUAUUGCAUUGUAAUGUCAUUAGUAUGGUCUUUUAAGCAAAACAUGCCACACGAUCAGAUGAAAGAAAAUUUGGGAACAUAUAGUUUAUGCCAAAGAAUGUGAUACCAAUUAACCUGAGGUUUAUGAGACAGAAUGCAGUCCAAAAUGGUGGAAGUCAUGAUGUUUGAGAUGCUCAAUGAGUUCCAAGUAAUAUAAUCAUCAAUGUUGGGAUGAAUUGGAACAUCUUCAAGUCUCCUUUGAAGUAGGACCAUCUCAUGGUGGCGACCGAGGGAGAACCCAUUACAUAUUCUGAAUUGCCUCGCUGACAAAGGUAGUACGAGAAAGCCAAGAAGUAGAUAGUAAGGUGGGGCUGAAAUUGAUUGACUCCCCCUACAACCAAAGGUCAUACUAGAAUGAUGUGUGAUUUCCUCGACCAACAUGAUAAGUUAUGAAUUACAAAGCACUGGGACGUAAUUUAAGGACUUGUUUCCAUAUCUAGGAGCAGUCACAACUCACAAGGUAUGGGAAUCUGCAAAAAAAAUUACUCUUAAGCACAGAAGCUUUAAUCCAGUUAACCCAGUAAGAUGAUUGUUGAAAUUUGAUUAUGUUAAUAAAAUGGGUCAUUAUGAGAUCUUUGUUCCAAUCCAAAAUAUUUUUUAUACCAAGUCCACUUUCAUUGACUAGAAGGGAGAUAUUGUGCCAAGCCACUUUUGCACCACACUUAGCAAGGGAUGGACCCUUCCAAAGAAAUCUGUUAAGGAUAGAUUGGAUGGAUCCGCCGAUAGUUUUGGGAAGUAUAAAGUGCCUGCUCCAGUAUGAUUGAAUCGAGAAUAGUAUAGAUUGUUAUUUUCUAAAGGCACACUAUAAAUCUAGAAGGGGUCGAAUAGAUCUUUAAAAUUCUUUCAUAAUUACUUAUUUGAGAGUUACUAAAUAAUUAAUUAAUCAAGAUUAUAUAUACGCAGUGGAAUAUAAGUUUGGAAAAAAAUACCCUUAAAGAUUUUCUCAGAGAUCUCAGUUCUUAAAUAAAGUUAUAUGAAUGAUCAAUCACAUAGUAGAUAUAGUAGUUAUAGAUUGCAGAACAUAAAGUGCAGAAUGUAAAAGAUGCAAGAGGUUUUAAGUGGUUCAGAUACUAAACAACUCAUACUCCACUCUUCUACUCAACAAGUAUGAUAUCAACUAAGGAUAUAGGCCUAGCAGACCAUUUACAUAUGAAUCCCUAAGAUUCCUUCGAGUCACAAAGUCUCGGCAUUGAGUCACUUAGACUCGACAAUUCAAUCACUAAUGAAUAGGAUCCACUGACCCCAAUUCAAUCCUUAAGAUUAGGAUCCAUCGACCCCAUUUUGGUCACACAGAUCAGGAUCCACUGACCCUUCUUCCUAUUUUUUUAGAAGUGUGAUUGAGGUGCUGCUAAGAUGACUUGAAUACUCUUCAUCUUAUGGUACUUUGUAGCAUUGUUGAUCAUCUUUUUGGUGCUUGCUGAAUUCUUAUUGAAGCUUGAUUUCUUCUGAUUAUCAACAACUACUCAUGAUCAAUGUUGAUGUGUUGUCUAGCUAUUCACUUAAAGCUAUUUUACUUUUAUGCUUGGCAACAUUAAACACUCUCAUAAUCAUAGACUUGUGCUCUAUGUCUUUAGCUGGUUGAUUCUAAGUGUUCCUGAUGAAACGUAUAGUGGUGCCUUGAGAUUUAGCUUAUGCUCUACCACUCUUAUGUUAUCUACAUCAACAACAUGGCUUCUUCAUAUUUGGGCCUUCAGCUCUGCCAUGUCUUCCACUUUCUUGGCUCUACGGCUUUGGCUCAUUUGCUUUUGAGCUUUCUAGCUCUUUUGUCUUUGGCUCUGCGGCACUGACCUUUUCAUGUACUCAUCUGCUUCGUGUGAUCUGAUGAGAUGCUACCAAGAUUAACUUUAAUCUCAUUCUCUUUUGGACUUGGCAGCUUUUGGACAUCUCUCAGUUUGUAGAGUUGACCGUACUCUACAUUUUCUCUUGUUUAGCCCGAUGUUCAUCUCUGAUGAUUAUUCUUCUUUUGUAUUAAUGUUCAGUGCUCAUCAUCAUCUUUUAUCUUUUGAAUAAUGUUGUCUUUUAUACACUACAAGAAAAUUGGCUAAUUCCGACGGAUAUAUUGUCGACAGAAAUAAUUCAGUCGGUCUUAGAGUAUUCCCGAUGCAAUAUUAUGUCGGAACUAAUUCUCUCAGAAAUAACAUAAACACGACCGAAUUCGGUCAAAAAUAUGUGCGAGUAAAGGUGCCAAAAAAGCCCGCCAGCGCGAAUUAUUUUCUUGACGGAAUAUUAGUAUUUUCGACAGAAUGUUCGUCGAAUUUAACGUAUCCUUGACAGAUAUAAUUUUGACAAAAUUCCGUCAAAAAUAGUUAAAUAGAAACAGAUCUACAGAUUCAUUUCAGACGCUGCUCUCUGUCUCUCUAUCUAUCUCUCUCUUUCAGCCGCCCUCUCGCCUUCUCAACUGAACCUUCUCUGCCCUGCCACCAACACACCACCGGCGACCACCACAAGCCUUCUCUGCCCUGCCACCAGCACACCGCCGUCGACCACCACAUCGCCGGGGCUAGCUUACCGGCCCUCCGAUUCUCUCUUUCCCUCCUUAUUUCUCCUCUUGUAAUUCAAGGUACAUAUUGAAAUUCCUAAUUUUUUUAGCUAGGGUUAAUAUAUAUAUGCUACUGAUUUUGACUGGAAUUGGUUUAAAGUUACAAUUGCAUCUGAUUUGGUUAUAGGGUUAAUAUAUAUCAUAAUCUGGAGUUAUAGGGUUAAUAUAUAUCAUAAUUUUGGUAAGUUUCGUAGUAUAAUUUGGGGUCAAUACAAUUGCAUUUGAUUUGGUUCUAAUUUGGGGUCAACAGUCUAAUUUGGUUCUGUUACAGUGAAUUUGAUGUAUCUGAAUUUGGUCCAGUUAUUAUAUAUAUUAAUUUGGUUCAAUUUGGUUAUAAUAUAUCAUUUUUAUGCCUUUUGCUGCUAUAUGAAGUGAAAUGCAGUGUGAUAAACUUAUAAUUUGUAGUGUUCUGAUUUCUGCCUUUUCUAGCAUUGUGAAUCAAUUGAAGACUUCUUUUAUUUUGGUGUUGAAUAUUAAUUCCGACGGAAUUUCCGACUGAAUUUCUAUGGAAGUUAUAGAUGGUAAUAAAUAAAUAUUUAAUUAACUAUAUAAAAGACAAUUAGGACUUAGUUUGCUACUAAAACUAUGUAGUAAUACUAGAAAAAUUAAAUAAAUUAAUACAAAAAAAUACUAGGAGAUUUAAAUAACUUUAAUAAAUUAUAUAAUAUAAUAUAAUAUAAUAAACUUUAAAAUAAAAUAUAUUUAAUAACAUCAAAUAAAUUUAAUAAAAUAAAAUAAAAUAAAUUUAUUAUUUAAUAUAAUAUAAUUAAAAAUAAAAUAAAAUAAAUUUAAUUUAAUACAAUAAAAUAAAUUUACUUUAUUAUUUAAUAUAAUAUAAUAAAAAAUUAAAUUAAAUAAAUAAAUCUAAAUAAAUAAAUAAAUAAAUUUAAUUUAAUUUAACUAACUUAAUUUUAAAUUAAAUGAAAUUAAAGUAAAACAUAUAAAGUAAAAUAAAUUAAAAUAAAAUACCUUAAAAUACAUAAAUAAAUAAAAGUAUAUUAAUAAAUUAAAUUUAAUAAUAAACUAGAAUAAAUUAAAAUUUUUAAAUUUAAUUUAAUAUCAUUAAAUGUAAAUUAAUUAAUUUAAAUAAUAUAAUAUAAUAAAAAAAUAAAAUAAAAUAAAAUAAAAUAAAAUAAAAUAAAAUAAAAUAAAAUAUAGUAAAAUAAAAUAAAAUACAAUAAUUAUCUUAAACUAAGUAGCAUUUGCUUAGUUUUCCAUUACAUAAAAAAUAUCGUGAAUUAAAUAAAAUCAAAGCUAAUAAAUUAAAUAAACAUAAAUUAAAAUAACAAAAUAUAUUUGAAAUAAAUUUACAUAACAUAAAAUAAUAUACUAAGUAUAAUUUGCUUAGUUUUCUACAAUUAAUAGUAACUGAAAUAAUAAGUUGUCUAAAUAUUCAAUAAAUAAAAUAAAAUACAUGUUGACUGGGUAGCAUUUACCUAAUUUUUCAUUGAUAAAAUAAACUAAGUACCAUUUGCUUAGUUUGUCACAAUUUUCAAACAUAAUAACAUAUAAAUUAAAUUAACUAUAAUAUAAUACCAUAUAAAUUAAAUGAAGCACUUCCUUGUAUGCAGGGUUCGACAUAGCAGUUGCAGCUAAUAGUACUCCAACCGGUUCCUCGGCAACAAUUAAAAAAAAAUGGUCAUAGUUCAUGUUUGUGUCAUAUACUCGAAUAAUAAAGUUAAUUGAAUUAUUGCGGACAUUCCUCACUGUUCCAUCAUAACAGAUGACAACAUACUGAAGGAGUGCCAUUAAGUUGCUGAACAAAGUUCUAGGUUAAGCAACCCUCUAGAUGAGCGAACGAUCACUUCUCUACUAGGAAUGAAUCAUUGCCUGAUAUGGGUCCAAUCCAUGACCCCUGUAGAGUGGAGAUAUAUACUAGGUAAACUAAAUACAUGCAUGUACCACAUUCAUGAUUAUUCUUGAUCUAAUUGGGUAUUUUCUUUAAUUAAAGAUGUCAGACGACCGGAGUUGGAUGUACCGUAGAAUUAAGAUUGAUGGGAGGGGAUUAGUUGUUGCGUACCGUGAAGGGGUGUCCAAUUUUAUGAACAAAGCAAUAGAACAUGUUGAUGAUCCGAACGGAAAGAUGAGAUGCCCGUGUUUCAAGUGUAAGAACGUGAUAUGGAAGACUGCCGAUGAAGUUAAAUUUGACUUAUAUUCACGUAAGUUUGUGGAUGGGUAUUCGGUAUGGAUUCAUCACGGGGAAUCAGCUGAGUUUAGAGAACGGACAGAUAGUACUGUAGACCAAUCGGUUCACGGGGAUUCACAAUCAGAUAACUGUGACGUCGUGCAAAUGUUGGUUGAUGCGUAUGGCCCUAACAAUAUUGGCUGGGCUGAAAACGAGCAUACGUCAAGCAGUGCUCAGCAAAAGCCAAAUGAUUCAACAACUGCUUUCUACAAGUUGCUAUCUGAAUUGGGUGUUCCAUUAUAUCCUGGAAAUGACAAGCACACCAGACUUUCUACAGUUAUGAAGCUUUUACAUUUUAAGAAUGAGCAUGACUGCAGUGAGAGAGGAUUCAAUGAUUUACUUGAUAUUCUCAGCGAGUUCUUACCUAGGAAUAAUACUAUGCCCGCGAAUUACUAUGAGGUGAAGAAGAUGGUUAAGGGGUUGAAUCUCGGGUAUGAGAUGAUCGAUGCGUGUGAGCAGGAUUGAUGUUAUACUAUGGGGAGGACAAAGAUAAGGUGCAGUGUGAUAUUUUCAACUCGCCAAGAUAUAAGAUCACAAAACGUGGGGGGGAAGAAGAAACAUGUUCCAAAGAAGAUUUUACGGUACUUUCCUCUUGCGCCGAGGUUGCAGUGGCUAUUCAUGUCUACGCACACUGCUCAACAUAUGAGUUGACAUAAAAACAAAGGGAUGUCGUGCCUGGUCAGCUGACUCACCUAGCUGAUGGAGAUGAAUGGAAGAAUUUUGAUGCCAAUUUUCCACAAUUUGCCAACGAAGUUAGGAAUGUCAGGCUUGGCAUGACUACAGAUGGCUUCUGUCCAUUUAAUAAUUUUAGUCUGCCUUACUCUGUUUGGCCAGUGAUUAUGGUAGCUUAUAAUCUUCCACCGUUAAUGUGCAUGAAGGAUCCGUAUCUUUUCCUGACCUUACUUAUACCGGGGGAUAAGAGUCCUACAAAAGACAUUAACGUGUACCUUAGGUCGUUAGUCGAUGAACUUAAGAUGCUGUGGAAAACAUGUGUUCAGACUCUUGAUAAAUUUGUCAGGCAGAUUUUGUGAUGAAGGCAACCUUGUUGUGGACUAUCACUGACUUUCCAGUACUAGGGAUGAUUAGUGGUUGGUCAACUCAUGGUAAGCUGUCAUGUCCAGUCUGUAUGGGGGAUGUGCAAGGCACUCAACUACGUCAUGGCCGAAAAACUAGUUUAUUUGGAACUGCUCGUAGAUUCUUGCCUGCUGAGCACAAUUAUAGAAAGAUGUCUACAUAGUUCAACAAAAAGACAGAGAAGAAGGGGGUUUUUGGUCGCUUGUCGGGCAGCAACAUAUUGGGCUGGCUAAAUGAUCUAACAUUUCUACCGCCUGGGAAGGAGCAUAGUAAGUUGAGAGCUAUAGGAUAUGGGAAAAGUCAUAACUGACACACUCGCCAAUUUAGUUUGAGUUGCUAUACUGGGUCACACUAGCACUUCGGCACUGUAUAGAUGUUAUGCAUACAGAAAAAAAUGUAUUUGAGAACUUAUUUUACGUCGUACUAGAUACGAGUGGUAAAAUAAAAUACAAUGAUAAAGCACUUAAAGACUUGGAGGAAAUUAAUAUCAGGCGGGAAUUGUGGAUCCGACCUAACAACACAAAACAUAAAGCUCCAUUUUGUCUUACCAAGCAACAGGUUGAAAACAUUUGCAAGUGGCUUAACGCAUUGAAGCUCCCAGAUGGAUAUACUUCUAACAUAUCUCGUUGUACUAAGGUUGAGCAGUUGAAAAUUACUGGGUUCAAAAGUCACGACUGUCAUGUAUUCAUGCAGAAAUUGAUGCCAAUUGCAUUUCGUGAGGUGUUACCCAGGAAUAUUAAUGAUACUUUUACCGCACUUUCAAAUUUCUUUCGGGAUAUUUGCUCAACUGUUAUAAGGUAUAGUGAUGUAGAGCAGAUGGAGAAAAACAUAGUGUUGACAAUGUGCAAGCUCGAAAUGAUCUUACCACCGGGGUUCUUCAACAGCAUGGAGCAUUUGCCUAUUCAUCUGCCAUAUGAACUUAAGCUUGGAGGACUAGUGCAAUAUCGAUGGAUGUAUCCAUUUGAGAGGUAAUAUCACAUACAUUGUGUAAUAUUUAUCGUCUUUAUAAUUAACUUAUCAGGUAAUAUCACAUACUUUCAUAUUUCAGGUAUAUACGUCGAUUAAAGCAGAAAGUUAAAAACAAAGCUCACGUAGAGGGUUCUAUUGCUGAACGCUAUACGGAGGAAGAGCUUGUCAACUUCUGCUCGUUGUACUUUAACGAUGUAGUCGCAAUGAAGCACAACUGUCUAAGUUAGAAUGAGGUCGCUGAUCCGUCUGGUCGUGCUGAUGAUGAGUUGGUUGUAUUUACUUAUCCAACUAAACCAUUUGGACAUGAGAUGAAGACUUACCUAACCGAUAAAGAUUUAAAGAUUAUCUCUACAUAUGUGCUUCUAAAUAUACCUGAAGUAUCGUCGUACAUCAAGUAUGUAUUAUUACAAGUAGAAAAUGAUUUAUUUAACCUUAAUCAACAAUUAAACAAUUGUCAUAUUAUUGUACGCAGUUCAUUCGAAUUGGAAGCGCAUGCUUCUAACCCGGGGUUGACUACUUCACAGAUGGAAGCAUUCACUAAUGAAAAUUUUCACCAGUGGUUUAAGAGAAGGGUCGAAAAAGAGAAUGCGUAUGAGCAUUUUAGAGAUAUCAUUUU